This 468-nucleotide ribosomal RNA is filed under the name uncultured bacterium. RNAcentral's name for it is "partial 16S ribosomal RNA". It matches the Rfam family "Bacterial small subunit ribosomal RNA", at positions 28 to 507 of the family's 1533-position model. The record is from RNAcentral.
GACGAACGCUGGCGGCGUGCUUAACACAUGCAAUUCGAACGGAAAGGCCCUGCUUUUGUGGGGUGCUCGAGUGGCGAACGGGUGAGUAACACGUGAGUAACCUGCCCUUGACUUUGGGAUAACUUCAGGAAACUGGGGCUAAUACCGGAUAGGAGCUCCUGCUGCAUGGUGGGGGUUGGAAAGUUUCGGCGGUUGGGGAUGGACUCGCGGCUUAUCAGCUUGUUGGUGGGGUAGUGGCUUACCAAGGCUUUGACGGGUAGCCGGCCUGAGAGGGUGACCGGCCACAUUGGGACUGAGAUACGGCCCAGACUCCUACGGGAGGCAGCAGUGGGGAAUAUUGCACAAUGGGCGGAAGCCUGAUGCAGCAACGCCGCGUGCGGGAUGACGGCCUUCGGGUUGUAAACCGCUUUCGCCUGUGACGAAGCGUGAGUGACGGUAAUGGGUAAAGAAGCACCGGCUAACUACGUG